UACGUAGGGCGCAAGCGUUAUCCGGAAUUAUUGGGCGUAAAGAGCUCGUAGGCGGUUUGUCGCGUCUGCCGUGAAAGUCCGGGGCUCAACUCCGGAUCUGCGGUGGGUACGGGCAGACUAGAGUUCGGUAGGGGAGACUGGAAUUCCUGGUGUAGCGGUGAAAUGCGCAGAUAUCAGGAGGAACACCGGUGGCGAAGGCGGGUCUCUGGGCCGAAACUGACGCUGAGGAGCGAAAGCGUGGGGAGCAAACAGG
RNAcentral lists this ribosomal RNA (253 nucleotides) under uncultured bacterium. RNAcentral describes it as "partial 16S ribosomal RNA". It matches the Rfam family "Bacterial small subunit ribosomal RNA", at positions 524 to 776 of the family's 1533-position model. The record is from RNAcentral.